ACUAUUUGUAACCUCUCUGUAUUUCUUCAGAUUCUAUGCAAAUGAAGAGGGCAGUGUGCCAUGUCAACAGCGUCUGCUUCACUUUCACUGUACAUCCGGUCACAGUGUCAACACAGUGCCAAGAUCACAGAGAAACAUCCAUCAUUCUAAAAGCUACUGCAUCGUCAACACCGGCUGGCUUGGCAAGCAAGAGGGAGAGAGAGAAAGAGAUAAGAGAUAGAGAACUGGUAAUAUGAGAGCAUGAAAGCA
Long non-coding RNA from Thunnus maccoyii (southern bluefin tuna), 249 nucleotides. RefSeq lists it as uncharacterized. The transcript is spliced from 3 exons. The record is from RefSeq and is a predicted model, not a curated record. NCBI's taxonomy places the organism in Eukaryota, Metazoa, Chordata, Actinopteri, Scombriformes, Scombridae.